RNAcentral lists this ribosomal RNA (375 nucleotides) under uncultured bacterium. RNAcentral describes it as "bacterial SSU rRNA". It matches the Rfam family "Bacterial small subunit ribosomal RNA", at positions 30 to 407 of the family's 1533-position model. The record is from RNAcentral.
AUUGAACGCUGGCGGCAUGCCUUACACAUGCAAGUCGAACGGUAACGGGCCUUCGGGCGCCGACGAGUGGCGAACGGGUGAGUAAUGCAUCGGAACGUACCUUUCAGUGGGGGAUAACGUAGCGAAAGUUACGCUAAUACCGCAUAUUCUGUGAGCAGGAAAGCAGGGGAUCGCAAGACCUUGCGCUGAUUGAGCGGCCGAUGUCAGAUUAGCUAGUUGGUGGGGUAAAGGCCUACCAAGGCAACGAUCUGUAGUUGGUCUGAGAGGACGACCAGCCACACUGGGACUGAGACACGGCCCAGACUCCUACGGGAGGCAGCAGUGGGGAAUUUUGGACAAUGGGCGCAAGCCUGAUCCAGCAAUGCCGCGUGCAGG